AAGUCGUAACAAGGUUUCCGUUGGUGAACCAGCGGAAGGAUCAUUACAGAGAUCGUGCCCUCACGGGUAGACUUCCCACCCUGUGUUAUUUACUCUUGUUGCUUUGGCAGGCCGCCUUCGGGCUCUCGGCUUCGGCUGAGGUGCGCCUGCCAGAGGACCCAACUCUGUGUUUUAGUGUCGUCUGAGUACUAUAUAAUAAGUUAAAA
Molecule: unclassified non-coding RNA, 206 nt
Filed under: plant metagenome
Description: partial contains small subunit ribosomal RNA and internal transcribed spacer 1
Rfam family: Eukaryotic small subunit ribosomal RNA (bases 1-46)
Source: RNAcentral